Molecule: non-coding RNA, 850 nt
Organism: Labrus mixtus (cuckoo wrasse)
Lineage: Eukaryota; Metazoa; Chordata; Actinopteri; Labriformes; Labridae
Source: the annotation of a RefSeq genome assembly
UCUAUUCAGUAAUUCUCCCUUAUGUCUCACUCUAAAGGUCCCGGAUGUUCUGUGGUAGAUGUGGAUAUAAAUAUCAAAGGCCCUUCAAUGGAUGACUUGUUUUCAAAAGGAAAAGGAACAAUAGUGUGUGAGGUCACGGUAAAUAAGGUCUCUGCAGACAAGAUUUAUUGGACAGACGAGCAAGGGAAAGACCUAGCUGCUGCCUCAACAACUAGAAGCAAAGGAGGUAAAGGCAAAUUCAGCCUUCCCCUUGAAAUCUCCUUUGAUGAUUGGAGCCGUGGGGUAAAGCACUUCUGUAAUGUUGUACAUUCGGAGUAUACUGACCCCAUCAAGAAACAGCUUGAAAGGAAUAUUGGAGGACUGACUCAGCGUCCAUCAGUGUUUAUGCUGCCUCCGUUAGAACAUACUAGAAAAGAAAUGGUGACCUUGUCUUGCUAUGUGAAAGACUUCUACCCCAAGGAGGUUUAUGUGUCUUGGCUUGUUGAUGACGAGAAAGCAGACUCAAAGUUCGGGUUCCAUACCACAGAACCUGUAGAAAACCAAGGAUCUUAUUCGGCAUAUAGCCAGCUAUCCCUCAGCUUCGAGCAGUGGAACAAGAGUGAUGCAGUGUUUAGUUGUGUAGUAUACCACGAGUCUCUGACUAACACAACUAAUGCUAUUGUCAGGUCCAUUGGGUCCAAAACCUCUCAAAACAUCAACCUGGUCAACCUCAACAUGAACAUCCCUGAAACGUGCAAGGCCCAGUAGAUGUUUUUUUUUUUGUCUCCAUCUGUCUUCUGUUGUUUGUUGCUUGUGAUUUGACAUUGUGUUUGUCUUUAAAUGCAAAAUAAAAACAAAAAAAAAGGUUGAA